This 66-nucleotide non-coding RNA is filed under the name Alexandrium minutum. Lineage: Eukaryota; Dinophyceae; Gonyaulacales; Pyrocystaceae. The record is from RNAcentral.
UUUUUUUUUUUUUUUUUUUUUUUUUUUUUUUUUUUUUUUUUUUUUUUAGACGGGCACUGUUGAAAU